Molecule: transfer RNA, 65 nt
Filed under: Francisella tularensis subsp. tularensis MA00-2987
Lineage: Bacteria; Pseudomonadati; Pseudomonadota; Gammaproteobacteria; Thiotrichales; Francisellaceae
Description: partial tRNA-Gly
Rfam family: tRNA
About the family: Transfer RNA (tRNA) molecules are approximately 80 nucleotides in length. Their secondary structure includes four short double-helical elements and three loops (D, anti-codon, and T loops).
Source: RNAcentral
AUAGCUCAGUGGUAGAGCACACCUGCCAAGGUUGGGUCGCGAGUUCGAGCCUCGUUUCCGCUCCA